UAAUACAGAGGGUGCGAGCGUUGUCCGGAAUCACUGGGCGUAAAGGGCGCGUAGGCGGCCCGGUAAGUAGGGGGUGAAAUCGUGCGGCUCAACCGUACGACUGCCUUCUAAACUGCCAGGCUGGAGCACAGUAGAGGCAGGUGGAAUUCCCGGUGUAGCGGUGGAAUGCGUAGAGAUCGGGAAGAACAUCGGUGGCGAAGGCGGCCUGCUGGGCUGUUGCUGACGCUGAGGCGCGAAAGCGUGGGGAGCAAACAGGAUUAGAUACCCUGGUAGUCCACGCCGUAAACGAUGGGCACUAGGCGUCGGGGGGAGCGACCCUCCCGGUGCCGUCGCUAACGCAGUAAGUGCCCCGCCUGGGGAGUACGACCGCAAGGUUG
Molecule: ribosomal RNA, 377 nt
Filed under: uncultured bacterium
Lineage: Bacteria
Description: bacterial SSU rRNA
Rfam family: Bacterial small subunit ribosomal RNA
Source: RNAcentral